ACUGCACUGUGCCUUUGUCACUGACAUGUGGGCCCAUUGAUCUCCAGGCCUACAUGUCAGUGACAAAGGCACGAUGCAGUC
This 81-nucleotide microRNA precursor is filed under the name Oryza sativa (Asian cultivated rice). RNAcentral describes it as "miR2905 stem-loop (osa-MIR2905)". Lineage: Eukaryota; Viridiplantae; Streptophyta; Magnoliopsida; Poales; Poaceae. The record is from miRBase by way of RNAcentral.